GACCCCAUGGAGUAGCGGCAAUCUCAGCGCCCUUUCACGGCGAAGAUCACGGGUUCGAGUCCCGUUGGGGCCA
Molecule: transfer RNA, 73 nt
Filed under: Microbacterium hominis
Lineage: Bacteria; Bacillati; Actinomycetota; Actinomycetes; Micrococcales; Microbacteriaceae
Also listed under: 1 other name
Description: tRNA-Glu
Rfam family: tRNA
About the family: Transfer RNA (tRNA) molecules are approximately 80 nucleotides in length. Their secondary structure includes four short double-helical elements and three loops (D, anti-codon, and T loops).
Source: RNAcentral